CCUACGGGAGGCAGCAGUAGGGAAUAUUGCUCAAUGGGGGAAACCCUGAAGCAGCAACGCCGCGUGGUGGAUGACGGUUUUCGGAUUUUAAACCCCUUUUGUUAGAGAAGCUAAUGCCGGUAUCUGACGAAUAAGCACCGGCUAACUCCGUGCCAGCAGCAGCGGGUAUACGGGGGGUGCAAGCGUUAAUCGGAAGUACUGGGCGUAAAUAGUGCGUAGGUGGGCGUGUAAGUCAGAUGUGAGAUCCUGUAGCUUAACUACAGAACUGCAUUUGAAACCGUGGGUCUAGAGUGUGGGAGUGGUAUGCGGAAUUCUUGGUGUAGAGGUGAAAUGCGUAGAUAUCAGGAGGAAUACUGAUUGCGAAGGCGGCCUACUGGAACCUAACGGACGCUCAUGCACGAAAGCGUGGGGAGCGAACAGGAUUAGAUACCCGAGUAGUC
Molecule: ribosomal RNA, 440 nt
Filed under: uncultured bacterium
Lineage: Bacteria
Description: partial 16S ribosomal RNA
Rfam family: Bacterial small subunit ribosomal RNA
Source: RNAcentral